RNAcentral lists this ribosomal RNA (500 nucleotides) under uncultured bacterium. RNAcentral describes it as "partial 16S ribosomal RNA". It matches the Rfam family "Bacterial small subunit ribosomal RNA", at positions 29 to 523 of the family's 1533-position model. The record is from RNAcentral.
AUUGAACGCUAGCGGGAUGCCUUACACAUGCAAGUCGAACGGCAGCACGGACUUCGGUCUGGUGGCGAGUGGCGAACGGGUGAGUAAUGUAUCGGAACGUGCCCAGUAGCGGGGGAUAACUACGCGAAAGCGUAGCUAAUACCGCAUACGCCCUUAGGGGGAAAGCAGGGGAUCGCAAGACCUUGCACUAUUGGAGCGGCCGAUAUCGGAUUAGCUAGUUGGUGAGGUAAUGGCUCACCAAGGCCGCGAUCCGUAGCUGGUUUGAGAGGACGACCAGCCAAACGGGGACUGAGACACGGCCCAGACUCCUACGGGAGGCAGCAGGGGGGAAUUUUGGACAAUGGGGGAAACCCUGAUCCAGCCAUCCCGCGUGUGCGAUGAAGGCCUUCGGGUUGUAAAGCACUUUUGGCAGGAAAGAAACGGCGCGUGCUAAUACCAUGCGCAACUGACGGUACCUGCAGAAUAAGCACCGGCUAACUACGUGCCAGCCGCCGCCGUAA